This 400-nucleotide ribosomal RNA is filed under the name uncultured bacterium. RNAcentral's name for it is "bacterial SSU rRNA". It matches the Rfam family "Bacterial small subunit ribosomal RNA", at positions 356 to 773 of the family's 1533-position model. The record is from RNAcentral.
GGGGAAUAUUGGACAAUGGGCGAAAGCCUGAUCCAGCAAUGCCGCGUGAGUGAUGAAGGCCUUAGGGUUGUAAAGCUCUUUUACCCGGGAAGAUAAUGACUGUACCGGGAGAAUAAGCCCCGGCUAACUCCGUGCCAGCAGCCGCGGUAAUACGGAGGGGGCUAGCGUUGUUCGGAAUUACUGGGCGUAAAGCGCACGUAGGCGGAUCGUUAAGUGAGGGGUGAAAUCCCAGGGCUCAACCCUGGAACUGCCUUUCAUACUGGCGAUCUCGAGUCCGGAAGAGGUGAGUGGAACUCCUAGUGUAGAGGUGGAAUUCGUAGAUAUUAGGAAGAACACCAGUGGCGAAGGCGGCUCACUGGUCCGGUACUGACGCUGAGGUGCGAAAGCGUGGGGAGCAAAC